ACUCCUACGGGAGGCAGCAGUGGGGAAUAUUGCACAAUGGGCGCAAGCCUGAUGCAGCCAUGCCGCGUGUGUGAAGAAGGCCUUCGGGUUGUAAAGCACUUUCAGUUGUGAGGAAGGUGGUGUCGUUAAUAGCGGCAUCAUUUGACGUUAGCAACAGAAGAAGCACCGGCUAACUCCGUGCCAGCAGCCGCGGUAAUACGGAGGGUGCGAGCGUUAAUCGGAAUUACUGGGCGUAAAGCGCAUGCAGGUGGUUUGUUAAGUCAGAUGUGAAAGCCCGGGGCUCAACCUCGGAACUGCAUUUGAAACUGGCAGACUAGAGUACUGUAGAGGGGGGUAGAAUUUCAGGUGUAGCGGUGAAAUGCGUAGAGAUCUGAAGGAAUACCGGUGGCGAAGGCGGCCCCCUGGACAGAUACUGACACUCAGAUGCGAAAAGCGUGGGGAGCAAACAGGAUUAGAUACCCUGGUAGCACAGAG
Molecule: ribosomal RNA, 474 nt
Filed under: uncultured bacterium
Lineage: Bacteria
Description: bacterial SSU rRNA
Rfam family: Bacterial small subunit ribosomal RNA
Source: RNAcentral